GAUGAACGCUGGCGGCGUGCCUAACACAUGCAAGUCGAACGAAGCGCUUUGAAGUUUUCGGACAGAUGAGUGACUGAGUGGCGGACGGGUGAGUAACGCGUGGGUAACCUGCCUCAUACAGGGGGAUAACAGUUAGAAAUGACUGCUAAUACCGCAUAAGCGCACAGUACCGCAUGGUACAGUGUGAAAAACUCCGGUGGUAUGAGAUGGACCUGCGUCUGAUUAGCUAGUUGGUGAGGUAACGGCCCACCAAGGCGACGAUCAGUAGCCGACCUGAGAGGGUGACCGGCCACAUUGGGACUGAGACACGGCCCAAACGUCCUACGGGAGCAGCAGU
Molecule: ribosomal RNA, 337 nt
Filed under: uncultured bacterium
Lineage: Bacteria
Description: bacterial SSU rRNA
Rfam family: Bacterial small subunit ribosomal RNA
Source: RNAcentral